UGGCCCACGGUGUUGCUCCCUCGCAGGACACACUGCAGAGGAUGAGCUCAGCUGAUUUUGUGCCUCCCCGUUAUUAUGUCCGCGAUCGGGCGCCGCCAACACCCAAAGUCAGUGCGGCAAAACAGGCGAGUGGCGCUCAUCAUCUCGUCUAAUGAAUGAGUGCGCAGGAAGAAGUAUGAGUCACGAAUGAGGUCUGCAGGAUGUCUUUCAAGAAGGAAACACCCCUGGCUAAUGCUGUGUUUUGGGCAGCGAGGAAGGGGAACUUGGCUCUGCUUCAACUGCUACUCAACAGCGGGCGAGUGGACGCAGACUGCAGAGACAGUGUAUGGACACUGCAUGCUGUGGCUGCUCAGAUGCACACUUUAACCAUAUUCCACCUGUGGUAGGGACACAGAAAGCUUCAAGCCUUACCUGUGGGGUUCAUGUAGUGCAUUAUGGAACAACAGCGCUGAUGGUGGCAUCAUACAGCGGCCAUUAUGACUGUGUUAAAGAGCUUAUCAUGCAAGGGGCUGAUAUCAACUACCAAAGAGAGGUAUGCUGGGGAAAUGAAACCCAAUGAAUUAACUAAAUACUCUUACAGACUCCAAAACAUAUAGUGUUGGUAAAGGUGUUUUUACAUUGUCAGAAUUAGGCAAAUACAAUAUUAGUGAAUGAACUUGACAGAUUUUGACUGUCCAGGCUUUAAAUUUAGAUGUGUUGACAGAUGGAUUUAUCUUAUUUCAAUGGAAGCAUACUCAUGCUAGCUUUACCCCCUUUGUCCAGCCUUUGUGCUGAGCUAAGGAAACUCACUGUCUGCUACCGCUGGUGAAUUUAGAAGGUCACUACAACCUGCUGGCACAUAGCUCCUGAAAACCCACUAAUUGUUGUUUUUACACUUUCCAGUUUUCCAGACAUGGAUUAGAAAUUCGUCCAGACCAAAAGAAAAAUAUUGAAGUUUUAAAUUGAAUAAAGUUUUUAGUCUAGGACUAGACUUCCGCCAUGUCUGGAACACUGUGCCUUUAACUGUUAAUUA
Haplochromis burtoni (Burton's mouthbrooder) is the source of this 1012-nucleotide RNA transcript. It is a transcript of the gene named ankyrin repeat domain-containing protein 29-like, with no coding region annotated. The record is from RefSeq and is a predicted model, not a curated record. The transcript has 3 exons. Lineage: Eukaryota; Metazoa; Chordata; Actinopteri; Cichliformes; Cichlidae.